GCUCGUCAAAGGAACCCUGGAUCUAACCGUCUGAAUUUUAAUGCACAGCGCAGUUUCAAGCGCACCAGCAACCGAUCCGGUCCACGAAGGCAACAGAAUCACAACAGCGCUAAUGGUGCCAGUUGGUGAAGAGAUGUAUCUGAGAAGGACCCACACUCUGAAGUCACAGGACCUAAAGUCUCUCAGACUCACUGCCAGUAAAGGGAGUCUUUCUUUUAGCCAUUCUGUGACACAUGCUGCUUGUUUUCUUUUAUUUCUUUUCAGAGGUCACUGAGACCUUCAACGAAAUGACCAUUAAAGCAUCGUUGUUUCUCACGACCAUGUCACACUUUACAUGAAGUGCUUUUCACAAAGUCCUCAAAAAGACAUGAUGCCUUAAUGCACAAUUUGUUACAUUGUGCACAGAGAAAUGUAACGCUGUAGAAGGUGGAUAUAUGGCUGGUAUAUAUAUGGGAAUAGGCAAGGGAAAUGUGAAGUCCUGUUUUAAGGAACAGUAAGUCAUAUAAUACAUGAUCUUAACAUCCCAGGUGUUAAGUAAGGUCAUGUCGUUAUGUUGCUGCGAGGAGGGGGAGUGAGGCGUGGCGGUAUCUUGCUGAACGUCGAAAAACGAGAAGCUUCGUGCUCUUCAGAAUAAGAGGACAGCUUGUUUAUUUACGUUUUAAAACCAAGGAAAAGUUUUGUCAGAUAUGUCAAACUAUAUAUUUUUCCAUGAAUUGAGGACGAAGGCAUUACAUCUGGUUUUUGCAACUACACAUUGUCUUAAGGACUAUACCAGAACAAAUCUCCUAUUAGGCAGUUGACAGCAUACCGUUAACUCUGAGGCACAUACAUCACUGUAUGACUUUGGUUUGCUAGAAUUUUUAGAAAUUUCCGAAUGCCUGUUGAGCAGCUAAAAAAGUCGUUUGGGAUUUGUUAGGAACGGUAUGUGAGAGAAGUGUCCUAAGGAAGGUUGAAGGGAUACACAGACUUGUUUCAUACAUUAUAGUGAAAGCCAUCAAUAAAACCAAUGAAUUAAUCUGUA
This is a long non-coding RNA of Chanos chanos (milkfish), 1021 nucleotides long. RefSeq lists it as uncharacterized. NCBI's taxonomy places the organism in Eukaryota, Metazoa, Chordata, Actinopteri, Gonorynchiformes, Chanidae. The transcript has 2 exons. The record is from RefSeq and is a predicted model, not a curated record.